RNAcentral lists this ribosomal RNA (435 nucleotides) under uncultured bacterium. Its description in RNAcentral is "partial 16S ribosomal RNA". It matches the Rfam family "Bacterial small subunit ribosomal RNA", at positions 29 to 507 of the family's 1533-position model. The record is from RNAcentral.
AGCGAACGCUGGCGGCAGGCUUAACACAUGCAAGUCGAGCGGGCACUUUCGGGUGUCAGCGGCGGACGGGUGAGUAACGCGUGGGAACGUGCCCUCUGGUUCGGAAUAACUCAGGGAAACUUGAGCUAAUACCGGAUACGCCCUUUUGGGGAAAGGCUUGCUGCCGGAGGAUCGGCCCGCGUCUGAUUAGCUAGUUGGUGAGGUAACGGCUCACCAAGGCGACGAUCAGUAGCUGGUCUGAGAGGAUGAUCAGCCACACUGGGACUGAGACACGGCCCAGACUCCUACGGGAGGCAGCAGUGGGGAAUAUUGGACAAUGGGCGCAAGCCUGAUCCAGCCAUGCCGCGUGAGUGAUGAAGGCCUUAGGGUUGUAAAGCUCUUUUAUCCGGGACGAUAAUGACUGUACCGGAGGAAUAAGCCCCGGCUAACUUCGUG